Molecule: long non-coding RNA, 218 nt
Filed under: Mytilus galloprovincialis (Mediterranean mussel)
Lineage: Eukaryota; Metazoa; Mollusca; Bivalvia; Mytilida; Mytilidae
Source: RNAcentral
CUAUGGUCUAUUUUUAGCCAUGGCGGCCAUCUUGGAUGGUUGGCCGGGUCACCGGACACAUUUUUAAACUAGAUACCCCAAUGAUGAUUGUGGCCAAGUUUGGUUUAAUUUGGCCCAGUAUUUUCAGAGGAGAAGAUUUUUGUAAAAGUUAACGACGACGACGGACGCCGGACGCCAAGUGAUGAGAAAAGCUCACUUGGCCUUUUAGGCCAGGUGAG